Molecule: ribosomal RNA, 404 nt
Filed under: uncultured bacterium
Lineage: Bacteria
Description: partial 16S ribosomal RNA
Rfam family: Bacterial small subunit ribosomal RNA
Source: RNAcentral
GAUGAACGCUGACAGAAUGCUUAACACAUGCAAGUCAACUGUGGCGGACGGGUGAGUAACGCGUAAAGAACUUGCCUCACAGUUAGGGACAACAUUUGGACACGAAUGCUAAUACCUGAUACUGUGAGAGGGCUUUGCGUCCAAUUAGCUAGUUGGAGAGGUAACGGCUCACCAAGGCGAUGAUGGGUAGCCGGCCUGAGCGGGGGAUCGGCCACAAGGGGACUGAGAAACGGCCCUUACUCCGACUGGAGGCAGCAGUGGGGAAUAUUGGCCAAUGGACCAAAGUCUGAUCCAGCAAUUCUGUGUGCACGAUGAAGUUUUCGGAAUGUAAAGUGCUUUCAGUUGGGAAGCGGUACCAACAGAAGAAGUGACGGCUAAAUACGUGCCAGCAGCCGCGGUAAUUC